This 335-nucleotide ribosomal RNA is filed under the name uncultured Planctomycetales bacterium. RNAcentral describes it as "bacterial SSU rRNA". It matches the Rfam family "Bacterial small subunit ribosomal RNA", at positions 473 to 806 of the family's 1533-position model. Lineage: Bacteria; Pseudomonadati; Planctomycetota; Planctomycetia; Planctomycetales. The record is from RNAcentral.
CUAAGGCUCCAGAGGAAGCCACGGCUAACUCUGUGCCAGCAGCCGCGGUAAUACAGAGGCGGCAAGCGUUGUUCGGAAUUAUUGGGCGUAAAGAGCACGUAGGCGGCCUUGCAAGUCAGUUGUGAAAGCCUUCCGCUUAACGGAAGAAUGCCAGCUGAUACUACAGGGCUUGAGUACGGGAGGGGAGAGUGGAACUUCUGGUGGAGCGGUGAAAUGCGUAGAUAUCAGAAGGAACGCCGGCGGCGAAAGCGAUUCUCUGGCCUAUUACUGACACUCAGUGUGCGAAAGCUAGGGGAGCAAACGGGAUUAGAUACCCCGGUAGUCCUAGCCGUAAA